Molecule: ribosomal RNA, 604 nt
Filed under: Escherichia coli
Lineage: Bacteria; Pseudomonadati; Pseudomonadota; Gammaproteobacteria; Enterobacterales; Enterobacteriaceae
Description: bacterial SSU rRNA
Rfam family: Bacterial small subunit ribosomal RNA
Source: RNAcentral
AAAUUGAAGAGUUUGAUCAUGGCUCAGAUUGAACGCUGGCGGCAGGCCUAACACAUGCAAGUCGAACGGUAACAGGAAGCAGCUUGCUGCUUCGCUGACGAGUGGCGGACGGGUGAGUAAUGUCUGGGAAACUGCCUGAUGGAGGGGGAUAACUACUGGAAACGGUAGCUAAUACCGCAUAACGUCGCAAGACCAAAGAGGGGGACCCUCGGGCCUCUUGCCAUCGGAUGUGCCCAGAUGGGAUUAGCUUGUUGGUGGGGUAACGGCUCACCAAGGCGACGAUCCCUAGCUGGUCUGAGAGGAUGACCAGCCACACUGGAACUGAGACACGGUCCAGACUCCUACGGGAGGCAGCAGUGGGGAAUAUUGCACAAUGGGCGCAAGCCUGAUGCAGCCAUGCCGCGUGUAUGAAGAAGGCCUUCGGGUUGUAAAGUACUUUCAGCGGGGAGGAAGGGAGUAAAGUUAAUACCUUUGCUCAUUGACGUUACCCGCAGAAGAAGCACCGGCUAACUCCGUGCCAGCAGCCGCGGUAAUACGGAGGGUGCAAGCGUUAAUCGGAAUUACUGGGCGUAAAGCGCACGCAGGCGGUUUGUUAAGUCAGAUG